This 673-nucleotide long non-coding RNA is filed under the name Ricinus communis (castor bean). RNAcentral's name for it is "long non-coding RNA (RCOM_LNC003821)". The record is from RNAcentral. Lineage: Eukaryota; Viridiplantae; Streptophyta; Magnoliopsida; Malpighiales; Euphorbiaceae.
CCUAAUAUUAAAUGCAUGUUGACGCCAAACGCGCGUCACUUAUGUCGGAAUUGAGCGCACGUAGGCGAGCUGCCUUAAAUGCCGACAAUUUAUUUUUUUCCUAAGUAAUUCCGUGUCCUAAGCCAGGAUAUUUCCCCAAACCCCAUCAUCUACACAUCACGCGCCUGGAAACUGUACGGGGAUGACGUGAACAAAGAGCACACGCUAAGGAGUAAAAGAAGCAAUAGUUACUGCUACUACUUUCCAGUGUCCACAAGAGCGUGGGAGGGCGCGUGGCCGUUGGAUUCCAAUUUUCUUUUUCUUUUUGUGUGUGCGCAGCACCACACUGCUACUACACCUCAUGCUACUGGUAUCAACAGUGGCGACUGCACUUUAACGGCGUAGUAAACCGAAAUAACAAUAUGGUUAAAAAAAAGGGGGUUUGACCGGUUAUAGCCGGUGGAAAAUGGGAAAUGAGAGGGGAUUUGAAGAAGGGGAAAAAGUAUAUGAAGAGGGAUUGAAGGGGAAAAAAAAUUAAGAACACACUGCCCUUUUGCAGUGAGAGAGAGAGAGAGAGUUAAAAAAGAAAAAAAAAAAAAGAAAAUCAUGUCCACAUCCUCUCAAUCCCUCUUAUCAUCUUAAUCCUCGCUCAAGUAAAAUUAGUGACUAAGAAACUAGCACAGUUAUUCUCUUU